UUGUCCACUAUAUUAAACACUUUAAAAAAGAAGGAGAAAAAGAUCAGAGAAAGUGAUCUGAUCCUUUUGGACAUCUGUAACUGUUGGGAAUAGUUGAGUUUCAGAGUCCUGUCUAGUGAAUGCUUCAGAUAGCCUUGUGGUGAUGCAGCUGGUAGGAAGAAUUGGAGAGACACAGAAAGCAUUGUAUUAGAACUUGUACACUUGUGUUCCCAGACCAACAUCCCUCUUGCCCAAACUCUAUUAUAUUUAACAGGGUAAAAAAAGGUUAUUUUACUUCAUUUUGAAAAAUAAAGUAAGCAUCUUCCUCUGCCCUAGCAAGGACUAGUCAUCCAGAAUGAGAUCAUGCCAAAAAAACUUCAUUUUUUGCUAUACAUUCAGGCCUGUGUAUAACUAAAAACUAAGAGAACCUGUGCCCUUGCCAUGCAGUAAUGCUCUCUAAAGGAGUAUUCCCUUCCCCUACACUCCAAACAAAUACCAUUGGGCCAUAAAUACAUGCCUGUGCAAGCUGAGGGCUGUAACAUCACAUCUGCUUUAGAGAGCGAUGCUCCCAGGGCUUUCCAUACCCACAGGACCACUGCACGCUUUUUUGGGACUCUGGGCAAGUAACAGAUUUAAACUCUGACUGCCCAUUGCUGCAAAGGCCAUUGUACUGUUCUCCCCAUCCCUGACCACCCACUCUGUGCUUUGGGUUUUGUAGGGGAGACCUGCUCUCACGACCUCUGAGCACUCUCCCCAUCUCCAGCAGGGCUGGGGGUAGGCGCCCUUCACAGGGCAAUAACUGCUUUAAAAUUAACACGUCUCUUUGCACUUGCUGCAAUUAUUUAGAAACCCCCUUGUCUAAUGACCCACGUUAAGCCAAAGAACAUAUUACUAGGGGUGUGCUAACAGCACCAGUGCACUAAACCACAACUGACAGCCUGACCCAGUGCUGUGCUUUAAAAGGGCAGGGCCACAGCAUUCGAGUUGGAAUUCUGCUUUAAUUAGGCCAUUACCUGACCUUCAAAGCUGUAUUUUCUUCCUCCUCUGCAUGCUAUGCUGGAGGAAAGGCUGCUGGAGAAGACAGGAAGAGCCCUAUCUGAUCGUUAUCAGGAACGGAUGAAAGCCAUGCGUUGCCUUUUCCUUUUGACGUGUGCAAUUAGUUUGGCUUGUGUGGAAGAAGCAUGUCAAGGCAGGGAUCUGUGCUAAUGCACUUACCUUCGGGAAACCUGGGACUUCCUGCCUGGAACUGCUUCUGGCUACCACCAGCUCUCAGACCCUUUCAGACCCUCACACAGACCCUCUGUGGCUGCAUGUUGCAGAUGACUCUCAUGGAAGGCAAAAGACCCUCAAAAGGACAUCUUACUGCUGGUUUCCAAAAGAAGAGCACCUGCCAAUUCUUCAGGAAUCAGCUGAUCACUUCCAGUGAUGACAACACGCUCCCAGUGAUGUUCCUUUUCAAGCCUUUUUGUCUAAAUGAAUUACUUUGCAUACUUUUUAAUUUUAUUGAACAAAUUACAUUUGUCAAGGUCUAGCUUUGUAAAUAAAUAGCUAGAGACACAUGGAUGCACAUUGCUGCUGUUCAAGGUCUCCUGUUCUAUUUAUGGAAACCAGAUGAAUGUGAAACAAAAGAGGAACUUUUCUCUAAAAGCAAUUAUCUUUCUGCAUUCCCAUCAGUAUAAUUAUAUUGCAGGGAAUUUUAAGAAGUCAUACAAGUAGAAUUAAAUACUUAAAAUCAUGGGUAGAUAGUUAUGCAAAAGCUGAGUGGAGCAUCUUGCCUCAUGCCAACAAAACAUACCGUGGCUGGCUGUUCUCUUCAUGCCUUUACACCUGACAUAUAUGUGCAUAUUUGUCAUAAAAUAAGAUAAUAAAAUAAGCUGAUAUCCAUGGUAUACUUAUGAAAAGUAUUUCUGGCAAUAAGUACUGAAUUGCUUUCGAUUUUGAAGUGUUAAUAUUACUGGGUUGAAUUAUUUUGUCACUUAGGCAUUUAAAAUGUCAUGGCCCUGCUAUGUGAGCAUCUUUAAUCAUGAAUGUUUUCUUUGACUUUGGAGACACAUUGUGUUAUUAAAACAGGGCAUCUUCUUUGUUUGUGGAAAGGUCUUCCAGAGAGUAAAAGGAACAAUGCCCAUGAACACAUGGCAAGGUUCAGAUGUGUUGGUAGGAGUAUCUGGUAAAAAUCAUUAUGACCUUGCUUAGAGAGAAACUUUUUAGGAAGCUACAGUACUGGCACAUGGUUAGUAAAAGGUCACAUCAUUCUGAGUGGAGGAGUAGAGAAAGUUUGCCAGGAGAGUACUUUUUUUCUUUUUUUUCAUUAUCUCAUCAAAUUUUGAGAAAUUUUCUUGAAAAUGUAGUUGCCUUUUCCCCUUAAUUUAUUGGGAAAAUGUUGUCAGACCACCAAAAUAAAAAUUAAUGGGGAUGUUCCAUAGGUUCUUUUACACUCCUGUCAGAGCAGAAAGCUCAGCAAGAGCAGCAGCAGGGGUACUUCUUGAGGAGAAGCAAGACCAGGUCCAGCUGAAAGCCUUAUUCCAAAGCAAAGGAAAGGGGUCCUGCAGCAGGGAUCUGCUACACCACGGUUGAUCUGCCGCCUACUGCCUUCCUUUGCAGGGAGGUGCUGUGGAAAGAAGUCCUGCUGGCGCCAGAGUUUUCUUGUGUUCAGCCACGGGCAAGGUUACAGUAAAUGGUUUCCUCUCACUUCCUUCUGGGAUCGUGUGCCAGGGCAGAAGGGCCUUGUGGAAAACAAUAAAUUGCAUUCAUGUCAGCCGAGGCCCAUCCCUUUGCUAAUUACCGUUUGGUGCUGAAAUGACUUCUGUGAAAUUGGGAGCAUGAAGAAACACACAGCCGUACAAGGGAGGCUUUUCAGGCAGCGGCAGUAAAUGUGAGAUAGGCCUUAGGCGCACAGAUGUUAAACCAGCGAAUUCCCCUACAGAUUACACUAAUGGAAACCCUGUCAGGGGCCAUAACAGGAGCUUCCUGGGUUCUGAGUCUGCAUUUAGGGUAAGAACAGAAGAAGUGUAUUCAAGAUGACCCUGAUCUGCACAAGUGUUCAGCUUUCCAGUCAAAAUUUUUGGGGACAAAAAAGAGGCAAGUCCAGAGUUUCAGUCAAUCUCUCUUAACUGUUCAAUAGCUAUUCACAGGUCUGACGGUCAACACAGUCAUAUCAUCGUCUGAAUCCAACAGCACCUACCAACUCAAAAGCUGGUGCUUGGUUCAGCACUGUGUUCUCUAAAAAUAACAACAUAUAUAAGGAUGCUGUUCAACCAAAACCCAAAGGACUUGCCUGGUUAUCCUCAAUCAAGCAUGCUCACUGAUUUACCUAGUGAUUAUUAUCAGUAUUUUCUUUUAUAAAUAUUUUUUAUUUUCAAGAGAAGAUUCUACAAAUACUUUUUUCUUAAACAGUAAUGUCUAUGUUUAUGUGUUACAUGAGGCAGAUGUUGGUUUAAUGCUUAAUUCUCACUUAAGAUAUCUUUCAGUCCACUGAAAGGGGUUGAUUAGUGUCCCCUAGCUGAACUAUUUUUUCCCUCUGUUGCUUUGACCCAUUGAUUUAAUUAAGGUCUAAUAAAGAGAGGGCUGAAAGAUUGUUAAAAAUCCUUUUUUUUUCUUCCACAGAUCUGACCUAUGCUGGUCUGUCAGUGCAUUUUUGACUCACACAUGCCCUCUUUAAUAUGUAAGCACACUUAUACAGAGUUUGUCUUCCUUAGAGCCAGUUGUUUUUUUCCCUUAGUGAUAGGUCAGAUUUAAUUUUGGUUUUAACCAAAGCAAAUGCUUUCCUGGAGACCUUCUAUUUUAGUGAAAAUAAGUAAUGAAAAAAUAACCGAAACAAGUCACAGUAUCAAAAGGAAAGACCUUAGAAAGCUUAGCGGUGACCUUUUCUUUUUCUGUUUCCUUUCCCAUCCUCCUGUUGCCAGUGAAGAAAGAGAAAUGAAAAUUCUGGGUUUGCUUUUCAAUUAAGUAACAAGAACGACUGAAAGUUUAUGAAACAUGGAGGGUUUUCAUUGAAAAUGCUUGCUACUUUUCAACUUUGUGUCUUGCCUAGGUCAGUGUUAAUGCUCAAAAAAAUACUUCACCCUACUUGUCAUACUGCCAACCUGCUGUUUUCCUUUCCCUUCUCCUCCUACCAGCUCUGCAGUUUGCCACUCUAGGGUGAGAAGAGCUGUUCCCAGCAUGCUAAUUUUGCCACUGAGCAGGCUCAUCUGUAUCUUGUAAAAGGGAGGUUACCACAAAUGUGUACCCUUACCACACUCUGCUUCUGCAGUAGGAGAGGACUUCUGGCACUGAGGCUCCCAGUGCUAUCCCUGCUGUGCCAGGGCCGCAAUGACAGUCUUCAGAAGAAUAAAGAAGGGGAAAAAGCCCCAGCUGCAGCUUCAAGGAAUGGCUGAAUGUGCUGUUCACGUCUUGAAAGAACAGCAUUGCUAUCCACAGUGGCAGUUUGUAAGCAUGAACCUUCUUAGAUGGCUCUCUUGCUCAGAUUUCUGUGCUGCAGCUCGUUAGCAGGAGAGCUGCCUGUGGGGCUGCGACAGGUUUGCAGUACGACAGGAUAUGCACUAAAAUAAAAAUCUGGUUAGGGGUGGUGUGAUCCCAGUGCUGGCUGGGCACUGGCAAUUAAGCCUGGAUGAAAAUAAGACACCUGGACUUCGUAACUCCUGGGAUGUGACAUACCACUUGCUGAGGGCCAUCGCUGCCCAGGAAAGCAUUAAAACAGGUGUAUAAAUCCUACUGUGUUCAGUGGGAUUUAGGCACCUGCUUAAAUUUAAGUGCUUGUUUAGAGAGUUUCCUGAAUGAAAGCCUGACAAUUGUGCCCAAGAGUAACUUUUAAAUUAGUUUUAAUUUGCUCAUCAUAACCAGCUGUCAUGAGCCUAUGUAAAAAGGGUUUGAUUUUGGAAAGAUGAAAGACUUCCCAGGUCCUUGGCUUUCAUGUAAGCACCCUUCCCGGAUGGCCAGCACCCUGCUGAGCUGAAGCAGCCCUACUCAGCCCUGCUUUUAUUCCUCCUUGCUUCGUGGUCCCACAGGGGCUGCGGUGUUAGCCCAGCACUCUGCAAAGCAAACUGCCCUGCCAGCAACUGACAUCACCCGACUGCACCUCUCCAGCCGUGUCCCAUCUGAGGCAAUCUGCAGGCUGCAACAGAGGAAGAGAGAGUCCACUCUGUAUUUAGGAGGAGAACAGAGCCCUGGAGGCAACAGUUUUAUCAACUUUUCCUGUUGACCAGAUGAUGGUUCAGUGAUAAAUAAAUGGAGUGUGCUUGAGCUGGAGGCCUCCCACACACCGUCACUCCCUGUCCUUCUCUGGCUCCUGCUGCCUGCCUGGACACAGAGCUUUGCAUCAGAGGGGGACUGUCCUCAAAGGACACUGCAUGCUGCUCUGCUGCUGCCAGGCAAGACCUGCUUUUGCCUAUCCAGGUCUUCAAGGACCUAUGGGACAGCAUGAGAGGACAGGGCACUGCCAGCUGCUGUGUGAGAGCUGGAGCCUGCCACAGCAUGAGAGGGGCCAGCAGUGAGAAACGGGCUGCCUGCAACAGCAUGAAGGUUUAGCUCUGCCAGAGGUUAGAAAAGAGGUUGUUUGUCUGAAGAGACACGGGUGUGGCGAAAAUACUCUGUGCCAGCCAAGUGAACCAAAACACUAUCUGAAUUACAAAGCAGGCUGGAAAAUAAAAUGUUGCUGUCAGAAGAUCUGGACCCGACCUGUGCUGAGAGACUGAUAGAAAAGAAGUCGCAGGAGCUGGCCAUGUACAUCUGGAGGAAUAAGAGAGGAACAGAGGGGAGGAUAUUCUGGAGGAAGGAGGAGCCUGGAGUAUUCGGUGUCCUUCCACCUCUGCAGUUCUCUCUCUGCGACCCUUUGCGUGGGAGUGGCUGCGUAUUGCGGAGGUUGGAACCCAAUUUAUCCAGAAGCUGGGAAGGACCUGAACUGGCUCUAGCAAUUCCAAAAGAAAGAAGAAGCGACACAACUUUCCUCUAACAAAACUGGUACAUUCAGGGAGAAGAUGCAGGAAUCAGUCUAAGUUACCACUGAUGAUGAAAUGUCAACCCAUUCUGGCAGGCACUUGUUCAGUCUUAAGGAGCUUUAAAUUACUUCACAGCUUGAGAUUCCAGCAUAGGCAGCAUUAUCCCCAGAGGCUGACGAGGCGGUUGAACGCAUGCAGAUAAGCUGCUCUCCCCAAGCAAGCGGGCUCUGCCAGCACCUGAGAAGUUAAAACCUGUCUGCGCUACAGACAAUCAGGCUACCAGGACCCAUGAUGCUGAUAUGAAAGAGGACUGACUUCCAGGAUGUUGAGAAAGAAGACAGAAAUUUCCAUCUUCAUUGUUCAGGUUCUUCCUUUACAGGGGUUCCUUCAGCUACACAACUAGGAGUGCUAUUUAUUUUUUUUGGAACAUUGCAAACAAAACAAGCAAAAGGAGGGGAGGGGAAAAAAAAAGGAAAAAGAAAACUCCCUUCAGACAACAAUCACCUUUUGAGUUAAAUUCUCAUGCUUGGUCUUAGCCCAGAGGGAUUUGUCUUGAGUGAAGUUCGAAGAAAAUCCUUUCAGCAGUUUCUGAGUUACUUAAAUGUAACCAUGGAGGUUUGGAUUCAGAUGCUUUUUUUUACUUGUAUAACUCAAAAAUAGCUUUGCUUUAAAACUUCUAAAUUAACCCUCCUUAACUUUUCAACUUGUCACCUAUCCUACUGUAUGGCUUAUAAAAUUUUAAAGCUAAUAGUAUAACAAACUCAAAUAAUGAUACUGCAGAUGUUCAAAUGAAUCUUGGGAGGAAUAAAUUAUAGGAGUCACAGUGGGUUGUUAGUGAAGAAAGAGCGGCUGCAUGCCUUAAACCAUGUGUUCUUACUGGUUUGAAACAGGCCCAAUUUUUUCUACUAUUAAGAAGCACCAGUGUGCUUGGGUGUGGAUUUUAAUACUCAGUUACACAUACAAAAUGAAGCCCAUAAGUCCUGUUCCUUUUCUUCCUUCUGAUAGCAGUGCUUUAGACAUGUUAGAACAUUCUCUUAAAUUUUCCUGCUUUCUUUUUAACACAAUCCUGAUCACCAGGACACUUAACUGUCUCCUAAAUAUUUAUGGGCUUCAAAGUCACUGAAAUGCUCUGUGAUUCUCUUACUGUUAUUAUUUUAUUGCCAGAAGAUUGAGGCAAUGAGAGGUGAAGUGUCUUGGUAAGUUAUGGUUUUUCCUUUUUCUUUGUCCAAUCUUCCUGUUGCUUUCUGAUGUUUCUUCCUCUUUGUCUUCUUUCCAACAUUUCUGCCUCACUUACUAGUCCUGUCCUCACUGUCUCCUAUCUAUCUUUCAAACAUCUUUCUCCAUUUAUUCGUCUCUUACAAUUGCACUGAAGAGAGCCUGUGAUAGAGAGAAAUUAUUUUUACUUUGGCAGCAGCUUUUUACUUUUAUCUUUCCCCUAAAUGUCUGGGAUGGGUCCAGGCAGCUCUCCCCACUUUCAUCAUCUCCCUUCACAUCCCUCGUGACCCUGAACUCUAGUCAGCAAUCUGAUGUCUGCCAUGAGAGCACCUCCCAUGAUCCAAAGCCACAAUCAGACUAAGGUGUUGUAACACCGAGUGUUGCUUUACCUACUUACCACGCUUGCUCUGCUGCUUUCUAGGAACUGGACGCCUGUGCCAGGUUUUUCUCACAGAAUAAUGACAGUACUGUCACCUUCUGCACGUCUCUCCUCCUUGCUCCUGUGCCUCUCUUCCUCUCCCAAGCUUUUGCGGUUCAAUCUCCUGGCUGAUGCAAUUUAGCCAAGAUACAGGAGACUUGUAUUCAGCCUGUGCCUGAGGCAAUUUGAACUUGAAUCUCUUGCCCCCUGAAUUAGCACCUUACCCAAGACAUUAUCAACUCUUCUGUAAGGAGGGUGACCUGAGUCCUUUCUUCGAGUGGGAAAGCUUGAGCUUGACUUGUCAGCCUUGUAGUGGAGGCACUCACCUGGAGCAGGGAAACCAGGUCUGCCAGGGCCUGCCCCAGUCAAUACUUAAUACAAAGUAUGGAAGUGUUCCCUGAAAGAGGGUAACAAACCCCAGGCUUCUUGCUUUCAGCAAUGCUUUGAGAGCAAGCAGACAGGGCAAUCCAGUUAAUAUUUAAUUAUUCAAACGGGAUAUAACUUCAACAGGAUGGACUGGAGAGAGACCCUGCUUGACAAGAUCCUUUUAGAACUGUGCUGGUCUCUCUUGACUGCUGUGGGUCAGCUCGCUCAAUACCCCAGAGCAGCAAUGGCAGCUGCCUCAGCACCACUGACUUGAUAUGGGACUAUGAAGUGAGGACAUGUGUGGAGGCUGGGUGGGGGGAAAGGGAUGGAAAAGGUGUUCCUGAAGUGUAUUCUGUUAUCCAUGGUGACGGGUUUGUAGUUGUAGCUGAAGCAAGCACUUGCCACUGCUGCCUCAGUUAUCAUUUUGGAAAGCAGUGGCAGCAAAUAUGUGGUGGAGGGAAAAGAAGUCUGUUAAAAGACAAGGCAGCAGGCUGGGGCACUAUAAGGGAAAUUGCUUUUAAAGGUGGAAAUGCAACAAAAAUAGACUAAGAAAUCUUAAAAGACAAAGUCAAUGCCAAAGCAGAGGAAGCCAGAAUGACUUCCAGAGCUCAGCUAUAGGCAGUUGUCCCCCAAUAUAAGCCAGACACUGUCAGUGUGUGGGAGACAUCCAGGAAUUUUUUCUCCUACAAAAAUGUUAGGGACAUUAUAUGUUUUAACUGUAAUGGAAAACUCGAGCUCUAGUGCUCAGUUCCAAAGGAGAACUAACCAUUGGAAGCAAUGUGGUACAGGGGGCUCUGUGUGUGUGUGUGUCUGCUCGUCUUUCUCCCAGGGAUUCUAUAGCUUCCUUCAUUCUUCCCUUCUCUCAUAUUACAGAAAGAAGGUAAUUUUUCCUGGCCAUUUACUAAAGCUCAUUAAAGACCGAAGAGAACAAACAAUGCUAUUCCUUAGAGACUACCAUUCAAAGUCAUUCUAUAAUUCUCUGUUCUAAUACUUGAGACAAAUUAAUUAUUCCUUAGUGAAAACUGUAUAAUUCCUAUUCUUCAUUUUUGGGGUGGGGAGUGGGGAAUAAUAAUAGGAAGUUUAUAUCUGAGUCAAAAGCUGUCUGUGCUGAAGGGAAAUGAGAAAAAAUGUGUGUUCCAAGAAGAGUAAAAGCAAUUAUUCUAAUAAUAAUUCUAGGGAUAUUAAUGUCUUUUUAAAGUAGAUUGCUUUCAAAUAAACACCAAAGUUGAAGGCAUAGGAAAGGCUGGUUUAUUUAUUAAUCAUUCCAAAAGUGCAUUUUUCUAAAUGAACAAGUGUAUGAGCAACUUCGCUGGCACAUAUUAAAUUUAGUUAAACGGCAACUUGUAAAUGUCUAAAAACUUCUGUAACCAGAGACUAAUUUGUUUAAUGUGUUGAAAAUGUUAUGUGGAUGUGAAGAGCUACAUAUUAAACUUCAAAGCAAAAGACUCCAGAGAUUACACCAUCUUAAAGACUGCAUAUUGGAAAGGCCUUUAUACAUUAAACAGAAAGGAUUUUCAAUUCUCUCCUAUUUUGAAUACUUGUCAAUCUGUGUGACUCACGCUUAAGAUUGUAAACUGUCAUUUAAGGUGUGAUGUCCAAGUUGAGGCCUGGACUAUGAUUUGCAAGGGGCUGGCUUUUCUCUUUCAUCUCUAUUAAUUAAUCCUGUCUCAGUUUGCCCAGCGUACACUUCUGUUGACAUCACCUUUUCCAUAUACGUUAAAGAGUCCCCAGAGAGAUCUACUGCAGAACAAAAACUGGACAGAGAAUACAUUUGGAAACCAUUUUAUUUCUCAAUUACCAACCAAAACGUAUGGAAAAGAUUUACACUCUAUCUGAUUUACACAAUAAUUAUACUUUGAAAGCUUAGAAAUAAAUGGCUUGAUCCCUGAAAUCAUUAGUUACUAUACCAAAUGUAAUUGGUGUAAACUAAUGAGUUUACUGGAUGGCUGACCCUUAAUUACUGAUUAUAGUUAAACUCUAGCCAAUCAAAAAUUCGUUUACUUAUAAAAGUACAGUAUAGUAUUAACAAGCAUUACAUUUCCAAGCAAGCAGCUUUAUGAUUAGCUGUAGCACACAACUCAAGCCUGUUCAGGGCUAUCAAAAGCAGCUUUUUAAUAAUAGUGCACUAAGCAACCAUCACUCUCUUACCUCAGCUUCUAUCAGACAAACAGAAGAAAAACCACAUAAUUAAUCAUCUCAUGCAAUAGAAAUAAAGCAUCUGGGCCAGAUCCAGGCAGGGUAUACACAGCCGCCUUAGUCAAGAGAGCUGCAAGAGGCUGGGGAUUUGCUUUAAGAUAGGAUAACUGCCAUGGGGAAUUCUGGCCCUCUGGAGGGGGCAGUCCGUGGUAUGGAAGUGAAAUAUUGAUUAUGUGCAGUCCUGUGCGAUGUGGAGAAACCUAUUGAAAAAACAGGUUUAAUAAUUCCUUGAAGUGAGGAGGAUUCAGUAUGUGGUGAUAGGACAUUUGGUUACUGUACUGGCAAUCCUAAAAAUUCGAAAGUCAUGACUCCUCACUAUUUAUUAGAUCAAAUGAGGAAUCAUUUUUUAAAUAAAAUACUAAAUGGGAACAAAUUAUCUUUAUUUGUCUCUGGUUGAUCUUUAAGAAUUAAUGUUUUUACCUAACCAGGAAAAUUCAACAUUUCUAUUAAAAAGGUUUAAAGCAGGUUUGUAUUUAGACCAUUUCCAGAACUGGGACUUUAGUACACCAAAUAUUUUGAUAAAAUCACAGGACUUUACAGUAUUUACAGUCACAUCCUUAAAGAUACUUGGGUAAGUGACUCCAGUGUUUUAAAGAUGCAGAAAUUCUCCAUCUCCUAGAUUGUUCCUGUGAAUCCUAAACUUCAGAUAGGAGAUUGAUACCAGAAGGCACAAGCAUUAGAAGAUGAGGUCUGAGGUCUGAUACACAGCUGCUGCUGCGGAGAUUUAGUUGGAAGAAUAUGUAUUUGCUGGAGUGUGCUCUUCAGAUGACCCAACAGACCUCACGGCUGCCAGGAUUCAUUCUGUCGGGAUUACAGGUCUCUCCCAUUUCUGCUUUUCUCCACGAUGUUCUCUCUGGGGCUCGCCUUUCAUAAGGAGCUACACUCAGCAGAGGACUAACCUUAUCUGAUAGCUCUUUGGAACAAGUGCUGUAACACUUGCCCAUUUAUUAGUAUAAAAAUUUUCUUAAAACUCAGAAAAUGAAGAAUGAAUUAGUUCUCAGAAUGUCUGCACAGGGGUUAAAGUGAAAUUUAUGCAUUUACUGAACUCCUGUUUGAGAGAUGUGUCUGGGGUCAAGAAAAGGUUAAAGUUGUUUACUGCCUUCAAGCUCUGGUCUUAGAAGUUAUUUCAGAGCUGUGGUGUGAGCAGCUACAGAGAGUAAGUCCUUGGAGCAGUGAAUUGCUGGUUUGAUGUCAAGGUCCAUGGGCCUUAAUAAUAAAAUUAGUUUGUUUCUUAAGGAAAUCCUAGCAGAGACUUAUAUAAAGUCAUUACACUGUUUUACAACAUAACUUUAAAGAUGCUUUGGAAUGAUCAGAGUUUGUGGGAAGGGAUCAAGUUCUUUAUUACUUGUGGAAUAUCCUCAAGCUGUCAUAGUUACAGCACUGCCACUUGGAAUAGCUGCUCCACAGUUCAAAAGAGAAGACAAAGGAUCUAUUGAAGCCUAAGUCAGGAAAAGAGGGCAUAUCUGUCCAGAGAAAGCUUGUUGACCAGAAUGGAUCCCAUGUACUUCCUGACAAUUGACUCCAAUUUUGUAGGAGUUGUACAUUUGGGGUAAUCAAGGUGUUUUUCUGCAAUUCUACAAGAGUAGAUAGAGAGCCUGUGAAGUUCUACAGGCUCUGCUUUUCACAGUUCUUCAUUGGAGGAUUUAGGGGUGAGCAAUUUUAAAAGUCAUGGAAAAGGAAGGCACACUUUCCAAAACAUCAAGAUUCUAGACAAACUGCUGGUAAGAAUAACGCUGCCAUUUCUGCUCUGCUAACGCUGAGGCAACACCCUCCUCCAAUGCAGAAGGAACCAUUGAUUCAGGAGGAGGAGAACAUGCACGUUCACUCUCCCCAGCCUACUGUCUCUGUGGCACAGAGGGAAAGUGGGGCUUCUGGAACAGACUGGUGGAGCAAGCACCGUAGGACCCCACUUUCCUCCUUUUCUGUGAACUCUGCCUAACUGUUUCUGUGAAAGAAAGCAUCAAGCCCCAUCUUGUUGAUGGAAAUGCAAUGUAUUUUAAAGCCAUAGUUAAUGGAUAAACUGUUUUCUGAUUGGAUGAGCCACACGAUAAAUCUCUUCCCGAGCCAAGUGCAAUGCAGCUUAUUCAGUUACAGUGAAAUAAGCCACUGUCACUUUGCUGCACUUGCAUACAUCAGGCAAAAUGCUUCCAUCUUCAUCAGCCUUGUAGUGAAACAGAAAUAAAACAAUUGUAACAGAAUGGUGUCACUGGAUCUGUGGCACCUGCUUUAAAAAUAAAUCUCUUAGCUUUGUCUUCACUAUUACUUUCAAUAAAUGUCCUAGCAUUGCCACAGCAUUUAUCUAGCAGCAGGAAACCAUUAUCCUAUGACAACAAUCUAUUCCAUUAACAUUAGCUCUUAAUUGUAAGACUGUUUAUAAGACAGCGAAAGCUACUGAAUCAUAGUAGAAUGAUAAAAAGAGUUAUGGUCAUGGAGUACAGGAGUCGCUCCAGUUUUGAAAAACAACUUAGGAAGAGAAGAGAGCUAUAUUUUUGUAUGAAAAAUAAUGUAAUAUUCUUAUGCAAUACAAUGUUUUCAAAUAAUGAAUUACAUCCUCAAGUAACUAUUAAAGAGUUAAUGUUAAAAACUGUUAUGAAAAACCGCUCUCUUUGAUAAAUGGUAGAGCUAAAAAAAUUAAUAGAAAGCUUAGAAACUCUCCUUCUUACAUUCAGCAAAGCUGCAUCGAGUCAAACAGGGAAAUCAUAAUAACAGAAGCACAUUUGUCUGGUGGAGUGAACAGAACGAUUGUUGCAGAAUUGAGAUAUGAAGAACCUCACUGCAGAAUAGAAGGAGAACUGUCAUUCUGAUUGUUUGUCAUUAUUGUUUCAUGUCCAGUUAAGUGAACUUAAAGUGACAGUUGUGUCAUAACUACUGGCAUCUAUGUAAAUUUCAAAUGAAAUACGACAGAGGCAUUUCUGCCAGAUGCAAGUCACCAGGCUGCUCUUCCUCUUUAUUUUUGUAAUCCUCCAUUUUCUUAUACUGUGCUCAUAGCCCUUAAAUUGAAAAGACAACUUAACAAGGGGAUCUCUGUUAUGUGUGUGUUUCAGUUCUCAGUCCGUACCUUGCUUUCCCUCAGCCUUUUGAAACAAAGGCCAAUGUCAAAUUUCCAUCAGAAAGAGUCACUCCAGACAUUUAGACGUAUUAGCUAAAACUGUGCCUUCCCAUCAAUGAGGUAUCAUAGAGCAAAACCCCACGAAAUUCUAGGUUGUGAACAUCCCCUCAAGGCCUACAGAGAAAACAGCUCGAGCAAAUGUUCCUCCACUGGUUUACUACAGCCCAAGCCAGUAUCACAAGGGUCUUCUCUGUGGAUAGGUGGAAAAUAGGUGGAAAACAUUGGUCGUGGACCUUUCUGUAAAUUACACCAUUUAGAGGUUAUGGGAACUUCACAAGGAUAUCAGAUGUACUCCUCCAUGGCGAGGAGUUACAUGUAAAUAACUCAUUUCCUGGAUACACUCAUACAGAUAGUCUAAUGACACAGGAUUUGCUAUUGGACACACACCUUUGAAAAUAACUUCAGUGCAAUUAUAAAUGUAUUUUGUGUGGACAACAUCAUCAAAAAAUAUUAAACAUGCUGUUUAUUCACUCAUGCAUACUAAUUUCCUCUGCAUAUUUAAGGUUACUUGGCUAAUUAAUUAAAUAGUAUAGGCUUGAACUAAGUUUUCAUUUUUCAUUGUAACAGAUUGCAUAAAUGCUAGUGAUAUAAGUAUGUACCUCUGCAUUAGGUAAGCACAUUUUUGUCAGUUGAUUGAGGCAGAUUUUUAUGGUUUUUAAUUCUCUUGCAGUUGUUCUUUUUUGUAUGGUAAAUUUAAAGUAGCUCCAUAGCUACUUUUAUCUACAAUUUGGGCCUUCAAACAAUCAAAUUGUGCUGUCCCAUCCUCUAACCUGGCCAUUUGUUAAAGUGACUAGUGAAUAGAGGCAACAUAUUAAUGCCAGUUCUAUAAAAGUAUCUGUGAAUAAACAUUUUUUACCUUAAAGGGUAAGUUCUAUAUGAGUUUAUAUUUGUAAGUCAAAGGGGUUUUUUUCCUUGUUAAAGAUGGAGACAUAUGAAUCAUAAAAAUAUUUGUAUUUGUGACAAAAUAUCACUCUACAGAUAUGUCAUCACAAAAAUCAAUUGUCAGUACAUG
Myiozetetes cayanensis is the source of this 14228-nucleotide long non-coding RNA. RefSeq lists it as uncharacterized. Lineage: Eukaryota; Metazoa; Chordata; Aves; Passeriformes; Tyrannidae. The transcript has 15 exons. The record is from RefSeq and is a predicted model, not a curated record.